Molecule: ribosomal RNA, 492 nt
Filed under: uncultured bacterium
Lineage: Bacteria
Description: partial 16S ribosomal RNA
Rfam family: Bacterial small subunit ribosomal RNA
Source: RNAcentral
AGUGAACGCUGGCGGUAGGCCUAACACAUGCAAGUCGAACGGCAGCACAGUAAGAGCUUGCUCUUACGGGUGGCGAGUGGCGGACGGGUGAGGAAUACAUCGGAAUCUACUUUUUCGUGGGGGAUAACGUAGGGAAACUUACGCUAAAACCGCAUACGACCUACGGGUGAAAGCAGGGGAUCUUCGGACCUUGCGCGAUUGAAUGAGCCGAUGUCGGAUUAGCUAGUUGGCGGGGUAAAGGCCCACCAAGGCGACGAUCCGUAGCUGGUCUGAGAGGAUGAUCAGCCACACUGGAACUGAGACACGGUCCAGACUCCUACGGGAGGCAGCAGUGGGGAAUAUUGGACAAUGGGCGAAAGCCUGAUCCAGCCAUACCGCGUGGGUGAAGAAGGCCUUCGGGUUGUAAAGCCCUUUUGUUGGGAAAGAAAAGCAGCAGGUUAAUACCCCGCUGUUCUGACGGUACCCAAAGAAUAAGCACCGGCUAACUUCGUG